UGGUUCUGGCAUCGAUGAAGAACGCAGCGAAAUGCGAUAAGUAAUGUGAAUUGCAGAAUUUAGUGAAUCAUCGAAUCUUUGAACGCACAUUGCGCCCCUUGGUAUCCCGAGGGGCAUGCCUGUCCGAGCGUCAUUUACGCUGCUCAAGCAGUCUUGCUUGGUGUUGGGUUACGCUAGCGAUAGCGGGCCCUAAAUCUAGAGGCGGCGCCGCUAGGACCCGAGCGUAGUACAUACACCAUCGCUACGGGUGCUAGCGCGCGGUGACCAUCAACCCCUAUUUCUUAAGGUCGACCUCGGAUCAGGUAGGGAUACCCGCUGA
RNAcentral lists this unclassified non-coding RNA (319 nucleotides) under uncultured fungus. RNAcentral's name for it is "partial contains 5.8S ribosomal RNA and internal transcribed spacer 2". The stretch from base 1 to 133 matches the Rfam family "5.8S ribosomal RNA", at positions 22 to 154 of the family's 154-position model. The record is from RNAcentral. Lineage: Eukaryota; Fungi.